This 484-nucleotide ribosomal RNA is filed under the name uncultured bacterium. Its description in RNAcentral is "partial 16S ribosomal RNA". It matches the Rfam family "Bacterial small subunit ribosomal RNA", at positions 30 to 507 of the family's 1533-position model. The record is from RNAcentral.
AUUGAACGCUGGCGGCAGGCCUAACACAUGCAAGUCGAGCGGAUGAAGGGAGCUUGCUCCUGGAUUCAGCGGCGGACGGGUGAGUAAUGCCUAGGAAUCUGCCUGGUAGUGGGGGAUAACGUCCGGAGACGGGCGCUAAUACCGCAUACGUCCUGAGGGAGAAAGUGGGGGAUCUUCGGACCUCACGCUAUCAGAUGAGCCUAGGUCGGAUUAGCUAGUUGGUGGGGUAAAGGCCUACCAAGGCGACGACCCGUAACUGGUCUGAGAGGAUGAUCAGUCACACUGGAACUGAGACACGGUCCAGACUCCUACGGGAGGCAGCAGUGGGGAAUAUUGGACAAUGGGCGAAAGCCUGAUCCAGCCAUGCCGCGUGUGUGAAGAAGGUCUUCGGAUUGUAAAGCACUUUAAGUUGGGAGGAAGGGCAGUAAGUUAAUACCUUGCUGUUUUGACGUUACCAACAGAAUAAGCACCGGCUAACUUCGUG